Molecule: non-coding RNA, 367 nt
Organism: Dermacoccus sp. PE3
Lineage: Bacteria; Bacillati; Actinomycetota; Actinomycetes; Micrococcales; Dermacoccaceae
Source: Rfam
GGGGAUGAUCGGUUUCGACAUCGGUCGCCGUCCCAGGGGAAGCGGGCCGAGGAUGCAGAGUUAUCUCGUUAACGCCCUCUGCAAACCAAUAGGUGCCGAUUCCAAGCGCACCGACUUCGCCCUCGCCGCCUGAGCGAGCCCGAAGUCUGUCAGCCUGAGCUAGUUCUCGACUCAGUGUCUGGCAUCAGCUAGAGAACUUGCUGCAGCGUCAUGUCGAGGGGCGCUGCGGGACUCUUACUCGACUGGGCCUGUCACGGAAUGUGUGCGUACCAGCCGUGGGGCCGAGAAAAUCCUCAUACGCACUGCGCCCGGAGAAGCCCUGGAUCGCCGUCGAUGGACGGGGGUUCAAUUCCCCCCAUCUCCACCA